Long non-coding RNA from Lycium barbarum (goji berry), 908 nucleotides. RefSeq lists it as uncharacterized. The transcript is spliced from 2 exons. The record is from RefSeq and is a predicted model, not a curated record. NCBI's taxonomy places the organism in Eukaryota, Viridiplantae, Streptophyta, Magnoliopsida, Solanales, Solanaceae.
UCCUUUUCUCUCCAACUCUCACCAACAGUCUUUGCUGUGCCAAUUCUAAUAAAACCUUCUCUCUCCCUUGGCAUGUCUCCAACGUUUUUCUUUGCCCCAGGAUUGAGUCAAACAAGGUGACUAUCACAAGAGUCCAAGAAUACUUUAUAAAAAUCUGACUUUGCACAGGGAAAAUCUUCAGACCUGGAGAAUCGAUUCCUUCUUCAUCUAUCAUCUGCGACUUUGACCCUUUUUUGAGCAGAUUUUUUGAAUCUCAAAUCCUAAUUUCAAAUUCCCGCUCAAUGGAACCCUACCUAUUUUUCUCCCUAUAAAUAUGAGCUUUUCUACUCAUUUUCGGGAGAAGUUUUUUGGAGCCGCCCAACCACCCUUUUACCUGAAGUUCUGAUCGGCUCUCUUGCCUUCAAGCUCUUGUUUUCCUCUCUUUCCUUACUUCUUAAAAAUAAAUAAAUCCAGUUGCUUGUUGCCAAUGUUUUAUAUCUAAAAAGAAAUACUCAAGUUCGAGGCCGGAGUUCAUCCGAUCUAAGACCCCGCACCCCAGUUUGCUGCACCCAAAAACGGCCAGUAUAUUUCUUUUUAGUCUCCUUUGUUUAAUUCAUAGCAAGGAUGUAAAAUCUGAAUGUAGUUUGGUUUUUGCACUAUUAACAGAUACUGUUGAGGACAACAUAGUUGUUGACCGCUGAGUUGCUCCUCCAGUUUGUCAUCAAUUGAGGUGAUCCAUCCACCAGUUUGUGGAGGUGUUGUUAGGUCUUAUCUUUAUCUUGCAAUCAUGUUAUUUCUAUUUCGAGUUAUGUCUUGUAUCUUUGUAUUACUGGUCUUUAGCAAGAUUGCUCCAUGACUUAGUAGAGUUGGGAAUUUGGAAUUUACAAUUAUAUUUAAUAAUUUAUUAAUUCGCUUUUACAAUAUGAGAA